Molecule: ribosomal RNA, 446 nt
Filed under: uncultured bacterium
Lineage: Bacteria
Description: bacterial SSU rRNA
Rfam family: Bacterial small subunit ribosomal RNA
Source: RNAcentral
GCCAGACUCCUACGGGAGGCAGCAGUGGGGGAUAUUGCACAAUGGGCGCAAGCCUGAUGCAGCGACGCCGCGUGAGCGAAGAAGUAUUUCGGUAUGUAAAGCUCUAUCAGCAGGGAAGAAAAUGACGGUACCUGACUAAGAAGCUCCGGCUAAAUACGUGCCAGCAGCCGCGGUAAUACGUAUGGAGCAAGCGUUAUCCGGAUUUACUGGGUGUAAAGGGAGCGUAGGCGGCAUGGUAAGUCUGGAGUGAAAGCCCAAGGCCCAACCAUGGGACUGCUCUGGAAACUGUGUAGCUUGAGUGCAGGAGGGGUAAGCGGAAUUCCUAGUGUAGCGGUGAAAUGCGUAGAUAUUAGGAGGAACACCGGUGGCGAAGGCGGCUUACUGGACUGCAACUGACGUUGAGGCUCGAAGGCGUGGGGAGCAAACAGGAUUAGAUACCCGCGUAC